CAUACACCUAUGCGCACUUAAAUAGACCCACCUGACCGUAUGUCACCUAUUCUCUCCUUCUCUCAGGUUAUUAAAAUUGUUCGAUGCCGACAUUCUAAAAGCCACUUAAGGGAAGAAAAGUAAAUCACAAAAAUCUAGAAAAGAAAACUUAAUGAAAAAUUAUGGAUAGAAGAAAAAAAAUAGAAAAGAAAAUUGUUCAAUAAUAUUAAAUAUUCCUAGACAUUAACUUAGAAAUAGAAGAAGAAAAACAUGAAAUUUAUGCGUAGUUAAUAAUAGAUUCUAAAGGGUUGCAUGAUCGGUCUCAUUGUGUCCAUGGAAGGGUAUUGGUAAAAUACCUCUUCAUAACGCUUCUUGUUAUUUUGCAUAUUCCUACAUUUCUUUAACAGUUAGAACGUGAAAUUGGGCCCAUCGACACCAACAGCUGCUUAAAAGUCUGUAAGUAGACACACAUAAACACACAUACACUCCGGGUCAGGAGAAUAGCGUCUACACAGUGAGACAGGCAUGCUUAACCAUAUAUAAGAUGAAUUACUAUUAACUAUAAUCACUACAAUUAUGCCAUUUAAUUCAUUUAAUUAAUUAAUUCUUACUUUAUAUUUUGAUUAUAUUAUUUUUAUUCAUAUUUGAUCAUUCUCUUGAAUUCCUAUUAUUAAAUUAGUCCCACAUAUAUAUACCCAUGCAGUAAAAAUAGUUUUAAGGGUUAGGGUAGAAAUAAUGGGGGUUACAAACAACCUGAAGUCAUACAAGUCAAAGUAAAAUUAUAACGAUUUAACAUGAAUUUCUAAUCUGAUUUUUGGGAGGGGUUCCUAAGGCACAUAGGCAGCAGC
RNAcentral lists this long non-coding RNA (827 nucleotides) under Drosophila guanche. The record is from RNAcentral. Lineage: Eukaryota; Metazoa; Arthropoda; Insecta; Diptera; Drosophilidae.